AAGAGGAUACUCAUAGAGAACAUCCAGGUCACUGGGUCACUGAAGGAAAAGAGGAUACUCAUAGAGAACAUCCAGGUCACUGGGUCACUGUGGCUGGUACUCACUACAUUCUUCAUUUGACAUUCACAGAGUCCUGUGUCACUCCUUGUGACACUGAGUAGAGCAAGGAUCCUGUUGUCAUUGGACAUCUGCAGCCUGGGACUGACUUUUCUACUGACACACGCUUAAGCUGGAGAUUCUUUCCUCAGCUAUGUGCAGCCUACCAGUGAAAAGCUUGGUGAAGGAUUUUAAGGACUUCCCAUUGACUGAAGGCUGGCAAAUGGAGUUUGCCAUUCUCUGACUGCAGCCAUUCUGAGGACUGGAAAGAAUACCCUGAGAAGUGGCCUAUUUUAUUCCUGCAGGAAGUUGCUCAGAUGGGACGAGCCACCUGUUUGUGCGAGGACCUUGGCUGCUAGGCUGGAAGCCUCAUACGUCUCAGUGCAUCUUCCCCUCCAGAUCCCUGGGUGUCCUGCUGUCCCCUCACAUGGAGAAACCUCAGCACUGGAAGAAAGGACAAGGUCUUUAUUAUUCAGAUACAUGCAGCCACUCCUCCAACGUCCCCUCUCCCAUAGGACAAGUCCAGCUGCUCCAGGCUCUCCCCAGGGUCGCUAUUAGAUUUCUCUCCAGAGCUGGGAUCUCCAUCGUAUAUAAAGCUGCAGGAAUACAGAUGGGAUUGGAUCUGCAGCGCCUAAGACAAAUGCUGGAUAAACAUUUCCAGACUGUAUGAAGCCACUGAGAUUCCUCAGUGUUGGCACAGUUCUCCGCCCUGGGCAGGGAUUACCGCAUACAUCAUCACCCCACCCAGAAAGGCAGACACCGUCAUUCUCACUGCUUCACCCCCAGUUUUCAUAAGGGGAACCUAAGAUCCAGAGAGAAGAAUAGUUGAAUUGAAAAUUGCAGAUGUGGAGGAAACGGAGCAGGAAAUUCAGGGGAAAGAAUCCAGUGGGGUGGAGGGAGCUGCCAGGGACCUGGGACAAGUGUUUGUCUUCUACCUCAGUCCACGCACCUACAUCUAUGAGCAGCAGCGUCUCCUGACACACCUGGCCCGCCUCGCACAUCACGGUAUUAGACACGGUCCAUCC
Macaca mulatta (Rhesus monkey) is the source of this 1121-nucleotide non-coding RNA. Lineage: Eukaryota; Metazoa; Chordata; Mammalia; Primates; Cercopithecidae. The record is from RefSeq and is a predicted model, not a curated record.